Molecule: long non-coding RNA, 695 nt
Organism: Mauremys reevesii (Reeves's turtle)
Lineage: Eukaryota; Metazoa; Chordata; Testudines; Geoemydidae
Exons: 2
Source: RefSeq, a predicted model, not a curated record
UAUACAGGGCAAUGAUGUUUCCUAUAAACACUCUAUAUAGUUUCUAUAAAAUAAUUUCUAGAUCAGGCAGUCCCAAAAUUUUCAUAGAAUGGACCACAUUUCAAUCACAUAACAUCCAUACUGCAACCACAGGAGUUACUUACAUUAAAAAGUAACAUUAGAAAAAAACUGAAUGUCUUUAAUUUCUUUUAAUGCAGUUUAGCAGCUGGAAACAAGGAGAAUAUGGAAGCAAGGAAACUAUGUGAACAGCCAUCUCUCCAUGGACUACAAGCAAGUGCUCCAUGGGUCAUUAGUAGUGCAGAGGCUACAGUGUGGGUAUCUCGGCAUUAGAUCAUUAAUAUCAUUAGAAGGCCUGUAGUCUACUAAUUGAUGCUCCAUUUGAACUAACAUCACCAUCUGCUCAUGAGUUAGUCAAACCUCUUAUGAAGUUUAUCCUCAAGAAGAAACUACUAGUGCUCUAUUUUUCUUUGGGUGUAAUGAAGGCACAAUCCUGCACUCUGAAAUGAACCCUGGAUGAACAGCUGAACUUUGGAUGAUUAUCUGAACUGCAAAACCUUUUAAAGUUCUCCAGUCUCUGUUUUAACCACUGAGUGAACUUUUAUGUAUAAACUUUUCCUACUGACUGGCUUUUCCAACGAGACAGUGAAACUGGAUGGAAUCCUUAAGAGUUAUUGAAUAAACACUGUAUUUCUAAA